Molecule: long non-coding RNA, 650 nt
Filed under: Gopherus agassizii (Agassiz's desert tortoise)
Lineage: Eukaryota; Metazoa; Chordata; Testudines; Testudinidae
Description: lncRNA (ENSGAGG00000002665.1)
Source: RNAcentral
GCGCCGGCGGCUGGAGAAAGAGGGGGCGCUGGCCGAGGUCCUGCCCCGGGGGUCCCUGUUCGGCACCAGGCCCCGGACGGUUCCCCUGCAUCUGUUCCUGUUCACCGACCUGCUGCUCAUCACCCAGCGCAAGAGCGCGGGGCGCUUCGUGGUGCUGGACUACGGGCACCGGUCGCUGGUCACGGUGCAGGGGGUGGGGCAGCCCCCCCCGGCCCCCGGGCUGGGCCAGGCCUUUUACCUCACCCUGCUGGAGAACCACCGGGGCCAGGCCUGCGAGCGGCUCUGCCGGGCCCCCAGCCAGUCGGACAUGCACCGAUGGAUGGAGGCCUUUCCCCAGCCCGGCGCCCCCCCCAGCCAGCCCCAGGAGACCAUCUACGAGGACUGGGACUGCCCCCAGGCGCAGUGCGUGGAGCCCUACGUGGCCAGCCAGGCCGAUGAGCUGAGCCUGGAGCCGCCCGACGUGGUCAACGUGCUGCGCAAGACGAGUGAGGGUGAGCGCCGGGGAGGGGGGGAGGGGGGNGUGCAGCCCCCCCAGAGCCCAGGCAGGGAGCCCCAGUGCCGCCCCCUGGUGGAUGGAGUUGGAUCAGACCCAGCCACGUGCCCCAUGCUUUGCCCCCCUGAACCUGCCCCACGUAUUGGGGUCCCCCCUG